AAUCAACGCUGGCGGCGUGCCUAACACAUGCAAGUCGAACGCGAAAGCCCCGCAAGGGGCAAGUAGAGUGGCAAACGGGUGAGUAACACGUGGGUGACCUGCCUUCGAGUGGGGGGAUAACGUCCCGAAAGGGACGCUAAUACCGCAUGACAUCCUGCCUUUGGAGAGGUGGAGAUCAAAGCCGGGGAUCGCAAGACCUGGCGCUUGAAGAGGGGCCCGCGCCUGAUUAGCUAGNGGUGGGGUAACGGCUCACCAAGGCGACGAUCAGUAUCCGGCCUGAGAGGGCGGACGGACACACUGGGACUGAGACACGGCCCAGACUCCUACGGGAGGCAGCAGUGGGGAAUUGUUCGCAAUGGGCGCAGGCCUGACGACGCAACGCCGCGUGGAGGACGAAGAUCUUCGGGUCGUAAACUCCUGUCGAGCGGGACGAACGCUUCGCGGAUG
Molecule: ribosomal RNA, 447 nt
Filed under: uncultured bacterium
Lineage: Bacteria
Description: bacterial SSU rRNA
Rfam family: Bacterial small subunit ribosomal RNA
Source: RNAcentral